This 253-nucleotide ribosomal RNA is filed under the name uncultured bacterium. RNAcentral describes it as "partial 16S ribosomal RNA". It matches the Rfam family "Bacterial small subunit ribosomal RNA", at positions 524 to 776 of the family's 1533-position model. The record is from RNAcentral.
UACGGAGGGUGCGAGCGUUGUCCGGAAUCACUGGGCGUAAAGGGCGCGUAGGUGGCGCGGGAAGCCAACGGUGAAAGUUCGGGGCUCAACCCUGAAUCGGCCGUCGAUACUCCCGGGCUCGAGCACUGUAGAGGCAGAUGGAAUUCCGGGUGUAGCGGUGGAAUGCGUAGAGAUCCGGAAGAACACCGGUGGCGAAGGCGGUCUGCUGGGCAGUUGCUGACACUGAUGCGCGACAGCGUGGGGAGCAAACAGG